GCCAGGCACGGUGGUGCAUGCCUGUAAUUCCAGCGACUCAGAAGGUUGAGGAAAGAGGAUCAUGAAUUCAAAGCCAGCCUCAACAACUUAGCAGGGCCCUAAGCUUCUAGUGAGACCCUACCUCUA
Molecule: small RNA, 126 nt
Filed under: Marmota monax (woodchuck)
Lineage: Eukaryota; Metazoa; Chordata; Mammalia; Rodentia; Sciuridae
Source: RNAcentral